This 397-nucleotide unclassified non-coding RNA is filed under the name Hevea brasiliensis (rubber tree). Lineage: Eukaryota; Viridiplantae; Streptophyta; Magnoliopsida; Malpighiales; Euphorbiaceae. The record is from RNAcentral.
GGAGCCAUCAACGGUCCAACGACCCAUCGACGGUCCGUAGGUGGCAACCGUCGCCAUGAAGAUGUUAUGCUGCCAAGGAAAGAUCGGGGGAUUCCUACUAAGUGUGGGUCUAUGAAAGGCAUGACGGUCUGUCCUGGUGAUCCGUUGGUGUUAACAACAUGCAGCCCCAGUACCUGAUUUGAAAAGAUUCUAAGUGUGGGGCAACGAAGGCCAUCGAUGGCCCAUCGUCAUAUCAACGGAUCGUCGUCUUGGUCUGUUGAUGGUAACAGACACUUGGAUAAGAAAGCAGCUAAAAAUAUAGUUAAAGUAUGGACCGACGGAGGUGUUGAAGAUCCGUCGCUGCCUCGACGCUCCGUCGGUAAGGUCAUUGACGUUAGACACAUUUUUGGACAUAUUU